Nicotiana tabacum (common tobacco) is the source of this 540-nucleotide long non-coding RNA. RefSeq lists it as uncharacterized. The record is from RefSeq and is a predicted model, not a curated record. Lineage: Eukaryota; Viridiplantae; Streptophyta; Magnoliopsida; Solanales; Solanaceae.
AUUUUAGAGAAUUUAUCCCUUUUCUCUCCAACUUGAUCUUCUUCUCUUCCUCAUAGCUUUUGAAGCCAUGAAUUACAAAACAUUCUCAUUUUUCUUCUUAGCCUUUUUUGUCUUAAUUCUUUGUCUAUCCUCAACAACAUCCUCUCGGAAAUUAUCAGGUUAUAGAGGUGAUAGCUAUAAAAUUGGAGAAGGAUUGUCCCUUAAAUUUGCAGUGCCACGUCGUUCGAAGAUGUAUACUCCAGGAAUUCACGCUGACCCAUCAAAAUCAGGGCCUGAUGGAGGAUCAUGAACAGAGAUUGAGAUAUAAAGGGCUGAGUAACAUAGUUUCUAUUCAACUAGAAUUUUUCUGAAUGGAGUUAAGCUUGUAAUAAGGAUUUAUCUGUGUUAAGUUUGAAUUAUGUUUACACUUCUUCUGAGUUUUUGCUAAUUGUGUGUAAAGACUUGCUUAUAGGAGACGAGUUGUAGGGCAUGGCAUUAGCUUGUUGAGUAUGUGUUUAGAUUGUUAAAUUAAGAUGAGGUAUUUACUCGUUGAGUAUGCCA